RNAcentral lists this ribosomal RNA (825 nucleotides) under uncultured bacterium. RNAcentral's name for it is "bacterial SSU rRNA". It matches the Rfam family "Bacterial small subunit ribosomal RNA", at positions 49 to 916 of the family's 1533-position model. The record is from RNAcentral.
UUACACAUGCAAGUCGUACGAGAGUUUUUAACUCAAGUGGCGGACGGGUGAGUAACACGUAAGAAUUUGCCUUUAGGAGGGGGAUAACAACUGGAAACGGUUGCUAAUACCCCAUAUGCUUUUUAGUGAAAUGGGUUUCCGCCUAAAGAGAAGCUUGCGGCUGAUUAGCUUGUUGGUGAGGUAAUGGCUCACCAAGGCGACGAUCAGUAUCUGGUUUGAGAGGAUGAUCAGACACACUGGAACUGAGACACGGUCCAGACUCCUACGGGAGGCAGCAGUGGGGGAUUUUCCGCAAUGGGCGAAAGCCUGACGGAGCAAUACCGCGUGAGGGAUGACGGCCUAUGGGUUGUAAACCUCUUUUUUCAGGGAGGAAUCAAUGACGUUACCUGAAGAAUAAGCAUCGGCUAACUCCGUGCCAGCAGCCGCGGUAAGACGGAGGAUGCAAGUGUUAUCCGGAAUCACUGGGCGUAAAGCGUCUGUAGGUGGUCAAAUAAGUCAACUGUUAAAUCUUGAGGCUUAACCUCAAAAUCGCAGUCGAAACUAUUAGACUAGAGUAUAGUAGGGGUAAAGGGAAUUUCCAGUGGAGCGGUGAAAUGCGUAGAGAUUGGAAGGAACACCGAUGGCGAAGGCACUUUACUGGGCUAUUACUAACACUCAGAGACGAAAGCUAGGGUAGCAAAUGGGAUUAGAUACCCCAGUAGUCCUAGCUGUAAACAAUGGAUACUAGAUGUUGAACAGAUCGACCUGUGCAGUAUCAAAGCUAACGCGUUAAGUAUCCCGCCUGGGAAGUAUGCUCGCAAGAGUGAAACUCAAAGGAAUUGACGG